Molecule: ribosomal RNA, 433 nt
Filed under: uncultured bacterium
Lineage: Bacteria
Description: partial 16S ribosomal RNA
Rfam family: Bacterial small subunit ribosomal RNA
Source: RNAcentral
AACGAACGCUGGCGGCAGGCCUAACACAUGCAAGUCGAGCGCGCCCUUCGGGGUGAGCGGCGGACGGGUGAGUAACGCGUGGGAACGUGCCCUUUUCUACGGAAUAGCCUCGGGAAACUGAGAGUAAUACCGUAUACGCCCUUUGGGGGAAAGAUUUAUCGGAAAAGGAUCGGCCCGCGUUGGAUUAGGUAGUUGGUGGGGUAAUGGCCUACCAAGCCGACGAUCCAUAGCUGGUUUGAGAGGAUGAUCAGCCACACUGGGACUGAGACACGGCCCAGACUCCUACGGGAGGCAGCAGUGGGGAAUCUUAGACAAUGGGGGCAACCCUGAUCUAGCCAUGCCGCGUGAGUGAUGAAAGCCUUAGGGUUGUAAAGCUCUUUCAGCUGGGAAGAUAAUGACGGUACCAGCAGAAGAAGCCCCGGCUAACUCCGUG